RNAcentral lists this ribosomal RNA (253 nucleotides) under uncultured bacterium. Its description in RNAcentral is "partial 16S ribosomal RNA". It matches the Rfam family "Bacterial small subunit ribosomal RNA", at positions 524 to 776 of the family's 1533-position model. The record is from RNAcentral.
UACGUAGGGUGCGAGCGUUAAUCGGAAUUACUGGGCGUAAAGGGCGCGUAGGCGGUUUGAUUAGUUAGGCGUGAAAUUCCCGGGCUCAACCUGGGAACUGCGUUUAAUACAGUCAGACUUGAGUUCGGAAGAGGGUCGUGGAAUUCCCAGUGUAGAGGUGAAAUUCGUAGAUAUUGGGAAGAACACCGGUGGCGAAGGCGGCGACCUGGUCCGAUACUGACGCUGAGGCGCGAAAGCGUGGGGAGCAAACAGG